GACGAACGCUGGCGGCGUGCCUAAUACAUGCAAGUAGAACGCUGAAGGAGGAGCUUGCUUCUCUGGAUGAGUUGCGAACGGGUGAGUAACGCGUAGGUAACCUGCCUGGUAGCGGGGGAUAACUAUUGGAAACGAUACCUAAUACCGCAUAAUAGCCGUUGUUGCAUGACAACUGUUUGAAAGGUGCACUUGCACCCCUACCAGGUGGACGUGCGUUGUAUUAGGUAGUGGGGGGGGUAACCGCUCACCAAGGCGACGAUACAUAGCCGACAUGAGAGGGUGAUCAGCCACACUGAGACGGAGACACGGCCCACAGGCAUACAGGAGGGAGCAGUAGGGAAUCGUCGGGAAUGGGCGGAAGACUGAGCGAGCAACGCCGCGUGAGGGAGGAAGAUUGUCGGGUCGUAAAGCACUGUUGUAAGGGAAGAACGAGUGUGAGGGUGGAAAGUUCACACUGUGACGGUAUCUGAACAGAAAGGGACGGCUAACUACGUG
Molecule: ribosomal RNA, 495 nt
Filed under: uncultured bacterium
Lineage: Bacteria
Description: partial 16S ribosomal RNA
Rfam family: Bacterial small subunit ribosomal RNA
Source: RNAcentral